RNAcentral lists this non-coding RNA (1888 nucleotides) under Brassica napus (rape). RNAcentral describes it as "Eukaryotic large subunit ribosomal RNA". It matches the Rfam family "Eukaryotic large subunit ribosomal RNA", at positions 1 to 1852 of the family's 3401-position model. The record is from Rfam by way of RNAcentral. Lineage: Eukaryota; Viridiplantae; Streptophyta; Magnoliopsida; Brassicales; Brassicaceae.
CGACCCCAGGUCAGGCGGGAUCACCCGCUGAGUUUAAGCAUAUCAAUAAGCGGAGGAAAGGACACUAACAAGGAUUCCCUUAGUAACGGCAAGCGACCCGGGAAGAACCCAACUUGAAAAUCGUACGUCUUUGGCGUUUGAAUUGUUGUAUGGAGAAGCGUACUCAGCGACGGACCAGGCCCAAGUUCCCUGGAAAGGGGCGCCAGAGAGGGUGAGAGCCCCGUCGUGCCCGGACCCUGUCGCACCACGAGGCGCUAUCUACGAGUUGGGUUGUUUGGGAAUGCAGCCCCAAUCGGGCGGUAAAUUCCGUCCAAGGCUAAAUAUGGGCGAGAGACCGAUAGCGAACAAGUACCGCGAGGUAAAGAUGAAAAGGACUUUGAAAAGAGAGUCAAAGAGUGCUUGAAAUUGUCGGAAGGUAAGCGGAUGGGGGCCGGUGAUUCAUCCCGGUCGGAUGCGGAACGGAGCAAUACGGUCCGCUGAUCGAUUCGGGCCGUGGACCAACGCGGAUUAAGGUGGUGACCUAAGCCUGGGCUUUUGUUAUGCCCGCGGAGACGUUGCUGCCUUAAUUGUGGUCUGCAGCACGUGCCUCACGGCGUGCCUCGGCAUCUGUGUGCUCAGGGCAUCGGCCUGUGGGCUCCCCAUUCGACCUGUCUUGAAACACGGACCAAGGAAUCUGACAUGUGUGCGAGUCAACGGGUGAGUAAACCCAUAAGGCGCAAGGAAGCUGAUUGGCUGGAUCCCUCAUCGGUGCACAGCCAACUGACCUUGAUCUUCUGAGAUGGGUUCGAGUGUGAGCAAGCCUGUCGGGACUCGAAAGAUGGUGAACUAUGCCUGAGCAGGGCAAAGCCAGAGGAAACUCUGGUGGAGGCCCGCAGCGUUAAUGACGUGCAAAUCGUUCGCCUGACUUGGGUAUAGGGGCGAAGGACUAAUCGAACCAUCUAGUAGCUGGUUCCCUCCGAAGUUCCCCUCAGGAUAGCUGGAGCUCGAAAACGAGUUAUAUCGGGUAAAGCCAAUGAUUAGAGGCAUCGGGGACGCAAUGUCCUCCACCUAUUCUCAAACUUUAAAUAGGUAGGACGGGGUGGCUGCUUUGUUGAGCCAUCCCACGGAAUCGGGAGCUCCAAGUGGGCCAUUUUGGGUAAGCAGAACUGGCGAUGCGGGAUGAACCGGAAGCUGGGUUACGGUGCCCAACUGCACGCUAACCUAGAACCCACAAAGGGUAUUGGUCCAUUAAGACCGCAGGACGGUGGUCAUGGAUGUCGAAAUCCGCUAAGGAAUGUGUAACAACUAACAUGCCGAAUCAACUAGCCCCGAAAAUGGAUGGCGCUGAAGCGUGCGACCUAUACCCGGCCAUCGGGGCAAGAGACAGGCCUCGAUGAGUAGGAGGGCGCGGCGGUCGCUGCAAAAACUAGGGCGCGAGCCCGGGCGGAGCGGCCGUCAGUGCAGAUCUUGGUGGUAGUAGUAAAUAUUCAAAUGAGAACUUUGAAGGCGGAAGAGGGGAAAGGUUCCAUGUGAACGGCACCUGCACAUGGGUUAGUCAAUCCUAAGAGUCGGGGGAAAACCGUCUGAUAGCGCUUAUGUGCAAACUUCGAAAGGGGAUCCGGUUAAAAUUCCAGAACCGGGACGUGGCGGUUGACGGCAACGUAAGGAAGUCCAGAGACGUCGGCGGGAAUUCCGGAAAAAAGUUAUCUUUUUUGUUUAAAAGCCUGCCCACCCUGGAAACGGCUCAGCCGGAGGUAGGGUCCAGCACCUGGAAGAGCACCGCACGUCGCGUGGUGUCCGGUGCAUUCCCGGCUCUGACACCCCCCGAUCGUAGAUGACCUGAACUGACAUGGUCGAUGUUCCUCGAUUGUCGAUCUGAGGUUCUCAGAAUACUUCUGAUCGCCUUAGA